GCUCCCAACAAGUUGUUAUUAAAUCUGCUUUUUUUGUCACCGACAACUAUCGGAGACCUAUCAAAGUGUCUCUGUAUGCCAACUUAUCGGGAGGACAGCUUUCCGCCUGAAAGGCUCUAUGAACCGAUUGGCUAACGGGACGCCUUGUAUACAUUACGACCAUUUCAAGCAUAAAGAUAUCCUAUUUGAAUUCAAUGUGGUCGUGCACAGACUCGGCAUAACAACAUCUACAUCCGCAUACUGACCUAAGGGUGUAUUAUUCCGCGGCAACAGCCGAUAGACUAGUCCCUGCUCCAAUAUAAAUACUUGCACGCAGAUUGAUUCUACAUCCUAACAUGGGGUGCGCACAUACAGCCAAAUGGUUCCUGCCGUCGCUCCUCCUGGCUUUCGCAGCUCUUCAAAAUGUCGCUGCCCAGCCAAUGCCUGACCCUUGUCUCCAUGGAAACUACAAGAACCUGACGAACGUUCACCGCAGUGUGUCCUAUGAGACGGCCUACCCGGAGACUCCACUGUGCGACAUUGACCUAGACACGGGCUGGUACCGGUUUGUGGUAGAUGCUGAGAGUAAAAUGCCUGAAACAUGCGUCGAUCCUUUUAAGUGCGGGACGACUGUUCCAAUCUGGCUGAAUUGUACUCACCCCUCUGUAAGUGACGGGAUCCAAACGAGGCGAGCAUGCGCGAACCUCCAGGCUGGUGGCGCCUCUAGUGGUCCGUGCUGUGGACAGGCCGUCAACAUCGGGGUCAAGAACUGUGAGGGUUUUUUCGUUUACUAUCUACAUCCAACACGAGCCUGCCCGAUGGCCUAUUGUGCAGGAAAAGACGCACCAUGUCCCGCUGGAAAGUGGUCUCCCACAGGUUUUCCACCCGGCUGUAAAGACCCCUACCCACAGCUGACUGACCCGCCGAAAUUCCGGGGACCUGUGAUUAAGCGGAGAAGCGUCUACUUCACCUGUGACCUGACCUUUAGCGGCAACGACCCGGAUCAAGUCUUUGAGUUCGUCUGGCUGUUUGACGGCGUGGAGGACCCUAAAGUGCCGCCUGAAGUCGUCCGUGACCCAAAGCGAUCUGCGAGACUGGACGGGGCUCAACUGGCGGGUCUCCUCAACAAGAACGUUGGUUGUAAAGUUCGUGCAUUUUACAAGCAAAAUGUCGUCAAGAAAGGACCCUGGCUGGAGAGCACUAGGACGUACUGGGCUGGAAUACAAACAGAUCCCUCAAAAAUCUCCAUACGUACGGAUGAAGACAAGUUUGACGUGGUCAUAAGGUCAACACUUCCGGUCUUAUGUAACUCGUCUGUGAAAGAUGAUCAGUGUUGUGUUUGGAUUUACUUGUCGGUCACCGGGUCUGAAGGGGAUCAAGCCUUUCUGGUAGUGUCAAAGGAUUGUAGGUACUCAAUAUGUAAAUCAGACUGGAACAGCACGAGUCAAGAAGCGUCAAAGACGGUGUCAGUCGUGGCCAGCAAGACUCAGAUGCAGUAUGGCACCAAGGACUUGCUGGUCUCCUUCGAGAAUAUUGUCAUCGCAGACACUUCCCGGUAUCAGCGAAUAUUCCAAGGUUUUAAGAUCCCCUCAGUACAGGUUGAUCUUCAGCAAAGGGAUUCAAAGCUCUGCAGCAUUGUAACAGAUCCACACAUCACAGGACUGGACGACAAGAGAGUAUUCCAUCUGUAUCGAGUGGGUGACUACACUGCAUAUGAAAAUGUCCAAAGGGAUUUUGAGGUUCAGAUUCGGACGUGGCCUUGCUUCCAAGAGCGUCCUGACAGGGCGGUAACCUGUAUCUGUGGAGUUGCGGUUCGUGAGAAGGACGAUGUGAUCAGGGUCAAUGGCUGCAACCAUGGCUUCUACGGUCAAAGCGUUGGAUCACCGGAAAUCACCGUGCCCAGGCCUUUAAGAGAAGGCACGACUAUACUUCAGUCUACGGAUGGAUCGAUGAUAACACUGUAUUUUCCGUCCAGUACUGAAAUUCAAAUUACCGCAUCGGCAAUACUUGGUGGUCAUCUCAACCUCUACAUCUCGGUUCCUGGCACCGACUAUCUCAAUGGAAGAGGCUUGUGCGGGACGUUUGAUAACAACCCCAACAACGACCUGACCCACCGGUCUGGCUUUGUGGACACAAUGCCUGCAGACAGUGUACCAGAGGGUUUCACCGAGUCCUGGAAGAACGAUGACAGCACAAGCUUGUUCAGGAUUGUACCUCCAGAAACGGGGGAGUCGUACGUGCCUCAAUACUGCAAAUGCAAUAACGAUGGCCGUGGAACUGUGAACUGUACUUACCAGGGGGACAUAAACGAACGCAAACUACCGUGUCCUAAUUGCCAAGACACCACAGGCAAAAGUGGUUUUUUGGAUGGUGGAUGGACGUCCAAAAGAAGAAAAAGAUCUGUUAGUGGUAAAGCAUACGUCGACUCCGAUGAAAUAGAACAAGUUUACGACCCUAACGAUUUUGCAGAUUUCCGACCGCCAAAUCUGUCAUGGCCGACAUCGACUGGCAUCAGCGAGAGUCAAGCAGAGAACUACUGCUCCAACGCCUUGAGACAGUCUCAGCUCUGGCCUCACUGUCAGGACAAAAGACAAGAGAUAGAAGGGCAGACCGAAAACUGCAAGAUCGAUAUUUUGGUAGCUAAUAAUUACACAAGUACAGAGGCCAUCGUGGAAGCUUUCCAGACAAACUGCAAAGUGGAGCUGGCCAAGGACCCAGAUAACUACAUCACCACACCCGGCGGAGAGAGUGUCCUGAAGCCAGAGAUCUCUAACGACGUCUGCAACCCUGUGUGCUACAUCAACGGACGAUGCGACAGGGGGCAAUGUGUCUGCAACAGAGGCUUUAUCGGCGAUAACUGUCAGAUAAAAGAUGAACCGCCUAAAUUGCUCGGCUUACGAGGGUCCAACCUGUGUGACUUUAAUGAACGGCCAUGCAAACAAAUCUUCAUCAACGCUGAAAAUAUUCAAAAUACGGCGACAAUGGCAUGCAAAAUUCAAGAAAUUCUGGAUGAUGGAUCAGUUUCUGAACAAGCUUCUAUGGAAGAAGCUGUUUUCCUGACUCUUAACAAACUCGGCUGCGCUUUGCCUGAUGCUGGCAUCAAAACAGAGAAGUCCAUCAAGCGAUUUUAUAUCACGGCUACUAUUGAUGGCCAUCGCUAUAGCAACGCAGUGAACAUGACUGUCUACGACUCGUCCUGUCAGAGCUGUACACAGGAGGGAUGUCAGAAACUGCCAAACACGUGUCUGAUCAACAACUUGUGUUUCCAAGAUGGAGAACUCAAUGCGAAGGAUAACUCGCAGAUAUGUACCGUUACGCUUCAGCACGACGGAUGUCUCCUUUACCUACAGUUCGACAGACUACCCGGUCAUCAUGUCCGUGAACGUGACCAGGUCAGAGGACAACACCCAGUUAAGAUGCGUGGUCAACGCUGAUGCCUCAAAGCCCACAGCCAGCUUCCGGAUGGCCUGGGGUAUCGAUGGUGACUGGCUUCGAGAGUUGGUCAUCCCCAGUGGACAUCUGGAGGCUGCCAUCAGCAUGUCGGACGUUAGUCACGCUCAUCAGGUGGCAUGUCGUGCACGUUCAGUUUUCACUGACACCAACAUUUUCAGUCCCUACACCUACAGCAACAUUCUUUCUAUGGGGGGACGCUGAAACCAGACGAAAAGAUGACAAAGAAUGAAGUUACUUAAGUCUGAUAACAGUAACUUAGAAAUAUUGGAAUGGAAGUACCCACUACAUUAGCUAUAAAGUGAAUAUUUUUGGAAAAAUACUUCUUUACA
Molecule: unclassified non-coding RNA, 3761 nt
Filed under: Pomacea canaliculata
Lineage: Eukaryota; Metazoa; Mollusca; Gastropoda; Architaenioglossa; Ampullariidae
Description: von Willebrand factor D and EGF domain-containing protein-like, transcript variant X2
Source: RNAcentral